CCUACGGGCGGCAGCAGUGAGGAAUAUUGGUCAAUGGACGGAAGUCUGAACCAGCCAUGCCGCGUGCAGGAAGACGGCACUAUGAGUUGUAAACUGCUUUUGUACAAGGGUAAACCUGAAUACGUGUGUUCAGCUGAAAGUACUGUACGAAUAAGGAUCGGCUAACUCCGUGCCAGCAGCCGCGGUAAUACGGAGGAUCCGAGCGUUAUCCGGAUUUAUUCGGGUUAAAGGGUGCGUAGGCGGAUUGAUAAGUUAGAGGUGAAAUGUCCGAGCUUAACUCGGGAACUGCCGCUAAUACUGGUCGUCUAGAGAGUAGAUGCGGUAGGCGGAAUGUGUGGUGUAGCGGUGAAAUGCAUAGAGAUCA
Molecule: ribosomal RNA, 364 nt
Filed under: uncultured bacterium
Lineage: Bacteria
Description: partial 16S ribosomal RNA
Rfam family: Bacterial small subunit ribosomal RNA
Source: RNAcentral